Molecule: ribosomal RNA, 393 nt
Filed under: uncultured bacterium
Lineage: Bacteria
Description: partial 16S ribosomal RNA
Rfam family: Bacterial small subunit ribosomal RNA
Source: RNAcentral
AUACGGAGGAUCCGAGCGUUAUCCGGAUUUAUUGGGUUUAAAGGGAGCGUAGGUGGAUUGUUAAGUCAGUUGUGAAAGUUUGCGGCUCAACCGUAAAAUUGCAGUUGAAACUGGCAGUCUUGAGUACAGUAGAGGUGGGCGGAAUUCGUGGUGUAGCGGUGAAAUGCUUAGAUAUCGCGAAGAACUCCGAUUGCGAAGGCAGCUCACUAGACUGUUACUGACACUGAUGCUCGAAAGUGUGGGUAUCAAACAGGAUUAGAUACCCUGGUAGUCCACACAGUAAACGAUGAAUACUCGCUGUUUGCGAUAUACAGUAAGCGGCCAAGCGAAAGCAUUAAGUAUUCCACCUGGGGAGUACGCCGGCAACGGUGAAACUCAAAUGAAUUGACGGGG